This 253-nucleotide ribosomal RNA is filed under the name uncultured bacterium. RNAcentral describes it as "partial 16S ribosomal RNA". It matches the Rfam family "Bacterial small subunit ribosomal RNA", at positions 524 to 776 of the family's 1533-position model. The record is from RNAcentral.
UACAGAGGGGGCAAGCGUUGUUCGGAAUUACUGGGCGUAAAGGGCUCGUAGGUGGCCAACUAAGUCAGACGUGAAAUCCCCAGGCUCAACUUGGGAACUGCGUCUGAUACUGGAUGGCUUGAAUUCGGGAGAGGGAUGCAGAAUUCCAGGUGUAGCGGUGAAAUGCGUAGAUAUCUGGAGGAAUACCGGUGGCGAAGGCGGCAUCCUGGACCGACAUUGACGCUGAGGAGCGAAAGCUAGGGGAGCAAACGGG